RNAcentral lists this ribosomal RNA (372 nucleotides) under uncultured organism. RNAcentral's name for it is "partial 16S ribosomal RNA". It matches the Rfam family "Bacterial small subunit ribosomal RNA", at positions 527 to 896 of the family's 1533-position model. The record is from RNAcentral.
GUAGGUGGCAAGCGUUGUCCGGAAUUAUUGGGCGUAAAGCGCGCGCAGGCGGUUCUUUAAGUCUGAUGUGAAAGCCCACGGCUCAACCGUGGAGGGUCAUUGGAAACUGGAGAGCUUGAGUACAGAAGAGGAAAGCGGAAUUCCACGUGUAGCGGUGAAAUGCGUAGAGAUGUGGAGGAACACCAGUGGCGAAGGCGGCUUUCUGGUCUGUAACUGACGCUGAGGCGCGAAAGCGUGGGGAGCAAACAGGAUUAGAUACCCUGGUAGUCCACGCCGUAAACGAUGAGUGCUAAGUGUUAGGGGGUUUCCGCCCCUUAGUGCUGCAGCUAACGCAUUAAGCACUCCGCCCUGGGAGUAACGGCCGCAAGGCUG